Molecule: ribosomal RNA, 711 nt
Filed under: uncultured bacterium
Lineage: Bacteria
Description: bacterial SSU rRNA
Rfam family: Archaeal small subunit ribosomal RNA
Source: RNAcentral
AGGAUUAGAUACCCGGGUAGUCCCAGCUGUAAACGAUGCAGGCUAGGUGUUUGGACGGCCACGUGCCGUUCUAGUGCCGCAGGGAGGCUGUUAAGCCUGCCGCCUGGGGAGUACGGUCGCAAGAUUGAAACUUAAAGGAAUUGGCGGGGGAGCACCACAAGGGGUGAAGCUUGCAGUUUAAUUGGAGUCAACACCGGAAAUCUCACCGGGAGCGACAGCAGUUUGAAGGCCAGAUUAAAGGUCUUGCCAGACGAGCUGAGAGGAGGUGCAUGGCCGUCGCCAGUUCGUGCCGUGAGGUGUCCUGUUAAGUCAGGCAACGAUCGAGACCCACGUCCUCUGUUGCUACCAGUCUUGAGCUGGGCACACUGAGGAGACCGCCGCUGAUAAAGCGGAGGAAGGAGCGGGCCACGGCAGGUCAGUAUGCCCCGAAUCUCCCGGGCCACACGCGAGCUGCAAUGGCAGGUACAAUGGGUUCCGACCUCGAAAGGGGAAGGCAAUCUCGAAAGCCUGCCGUAGUUGGGAUUGAGGGUUGUAACCCAUCCUCAUGAACAUGGAAUCCCUAGUAAUCGCGUGUCACUAGCGCGCGGUGAAUACGUCCCUGCUCCUUGCACACACCGCCCGUCGUUCCACCCGAGCGAUCCUUGGGUGAGGCGUGGUCUUUCUUGGCUGCGUCGAAUCUGAGUUUCGUAAGGGGGGAAAAGUCGUAACAAG